GGUAUAGACACCAAGACCCUCAUUGAUACUUCACCACAAGUAAUGGAUUAUAUUUUCGCAGUUUUUCUACCUGUCGUUUUUUUGGCUAUGUUGUUUAGUGCCAUUUUUAAAAAGUCAGAAAUCUUAUUUUAUGCAAUGAUCACGUACAUAAUUAUAUGGACCUUAAUGACUGUGUAUUCAUCUCUGGGAGAACAAAAAGGCUGGUUUUUCUGGUGUAAAUUUCCUCCUACUAUGCUGGAUGGAUCAAAAAAUGAAGAAGUUAAUUUUGAAUCAAAAUUCUUUUCAACUAUUCGCGCUGUGGGCGAAUAUGUGGCUGGAGCGUUUUACAUGUUGAUGGUGUAUAUGAGUGUUCUCGAACUUCGACGUGGCUAUUCAAUAUCAGACCAAGUCUCCAGUGUAUAAUAUGCUCGAGUCAAAAAAACAUGGAUACACAAGAGUUGUUCAAAUUAAAAUACGAGA
Long non-coding RNA from Aphidius gifuensis, 459 nucleotides. RefSeq lists it as uncharacterized. Lineage: Eukaryota; Metazoa; Arthropoda; Insecta; Hymenoptera; Braconidae. The transcript is spliced from 3 exons. The record is from RefSeq and is a predicted model, not a curated record.